GACGAACGCUGGCGGCGUGCCUCAUACAUGCAAGUGGAGCGACGAACCAGGGCUUUGCCCUGGGGCAAAGCCGCGAACGGGUGAGUAACACGUGGGUAACCUGCCCCGAAGACCGGGACAACCCGAGGAAACUCGAGCUAAUACCGGAUGUGCUCUCCGCGCUCAAGCGCGACGAGUAAAGGAAGCUUCGGCCUCCGCUUUGGGAGGGGCCCGCGGCCCAUUAGCUUGUUGGUGAGGUAACGGCUCACCAAGGCUGCGAUGGGUAGCUGGUCUAAGAGGACGGUCAGCCACACUGGGACUGAGACACGGCCCAGACUCCUACGGGAGGCAGCAGUAGGGAAUCUUGCGCAAUGCGCGAAAGCGUGACGCAGCAACGCCGC
Molecule: ribosomal RNA, 380 nt
Filed under: uncultured bacterium
Lineage: Bacteria
Description: bacterial SSU rRNA
Rfam family: Bacterial small subunit ribosomal RNA
Source: RNAcentral